GUAUUUCCUCUUUUAAGAAAUUGAGAGCAAGUACCUUUUACCUGGGAAGGGGAAACUCAUCAAAUGCUAUCUGCUCUUGGGACCCAAUCCUGAGUUACUUUAUCAGAUUAACCUGAUAGUCACCAGAACUCCAUUCAAACAGAACACAGGACUGUUAUAUUUGGGUCAGUAAAGGACAAAGAUCUGGUGUCUGGACUGCAGGUGCUGUGGUAUCGUUGGAAGCAAAGAUGGAAAACAAAGCAGGAGAUGAAGGGUUCAUAGAGAUAAACUUCUUCCUAUUUUGCCUGGGAUUCCAGGUAGCAGAACUGGAGCUCAGACCUCUUUUGGGGGGAUCCUAAGCAAUACUUUUGCUGCUCCCUUCUGGUCCACAUCACAAGUCUGGAGAAUCUAAAACAAGCUGGGCAAUGAGAAAAUCUAACUCUUCAUGUGUUAUUCCCAAUAAAUCAGUUAUGACAUAAA
This is a long non-coding RNA of Homo sapiens (human), 459 nucleotides long. The record is from Ensembl. Lineage: Eukaryota; Metazoa; Chordata; Mammalia; Primates; Hominidae.